CGACGGUUGGUGCUAUGCCAACCGUGGCGUUAACGGAUAACAGAGAAUCUGGGUUCGAUUCUGGAGAGGCCGCAUGAGAAACGGCGACCACUUCUAAGGAAGGCAGCAGGCACGCAAAUUACCCACUUCGGACACCGAGAGGUAGUGACGAACAAUACCGAUGCGGCGCGCUUAACGUGUCGCCGUAAUCGGAAUGAGUACACUUCAAAUCCUUUAACGAGGAUCCACUGGAGGGCAAGCCUGGUGCCAGCAGCCGCGGUAAUUCCAGCUCCAGCAGCGUAUAUUUAUAUUGCUGCGUUUAAAAAGCUCGUAGUUGAAGCGUCAGACGCGGGAGGGCGGACGGCCGCACUGGUCGCUCUCGCCCGACCGAGCCAGGCGCAGAGGGCGCGCGUCGCUUGCACUUUACCGUGUGAGCGCGCCGCCGCUGCACGUUCACCUUGAAGAAAUUGAACCGCUUAGAGGGGGCGAGCAGCUUGAACAGCUCAGCAUGGUAUGAUGGAACAUGGGCUCGUACUCAUUUUGUUGGUUAGAGAGUCGGCGAGCCAAUGAUUAACAGGGACUGCCGGGGGCAUUAGUACUCGGACGGGAGAGGUGAAAUUCAAGGAUCGUCCGAAGACUCCCUACUGCGAAAGCAUUUGCCAAGAAUGUUUUCAUUAAUCAAGAACGAAAGUCAGAGGUGCGAAGGCGAUCAGAUACCGCCGUAGUUCUGACCGUAAACGAUGCCGACUGGCAAUUGGGCGCACUUCUGUCGAAGUUGCCGCCAGCAGUACUGCCCGGGAAACCAAAGUCAUUGGGUUCCGGGGGGAGUAUGGUUGCAAAGCUGAAACUUAAAGGAAUUGACGGAAGGGCACCACCAGGAGUGGAGCCUGCGGCUUAAUUUGACUCAACACGGGAAACCUCACCCGGCCCGAACACUGUUAUGACAGACAGGUUGAGAGCUCUUUCUCGAUUCAGUGGUUGGUGGUGCAUGGCCGUUCUUAGUUCGUGGAGCGAUCUGUCUGGUUAAUUCCGAUAACGAACGAGAUUCUUGCCUGCUAAAUAGACGGCGUCGACUGUGUGCGACGGCUGUUCGCUUCUUAGAGGGACAAGCGGCUUUUAGCCGCGUGAAGCUGAGAGCAAUAACAGGUCAGUGAUGCCCUCAGAUGUUCGGGGCCGCACGCGCGCUACACUGUUUGCAUCAGCGUGUUUCUCCCGCGCCGG
This 1200-nucleotide ribosomal RNA is filed under the name Chaperia sp. n. 1 RJO-2020. RNAcentral describes it as "SSU rRNA". It matches the Rfam family "Eukaryotic small subunit ribosomal RNA", at positions 323 to 1536 of the family's 1831-position model. The record is from RNAcentral. Lineage: Eukaryota; Metazoa; Bryozoa; Gymnolaemata; Cheilostomatida; Chaperiidae.